CAAUGCUUUUAAACUCUCCUGCUGGAUGAAACCUUUAAAAUAUUUUUCAUCUUCUUGCUGUAGCUUUGGGGUCGAGGUGUUUUUUUUUUCUCUCUCUCUCUUUUUUUUUUUAAACUUUUAUUAUUAUUAUUUUUAUUUUGGUUGCGAUCUCGACUUUGAUUUUUUUUUUUUUGUCUCCGCUCUUUUCCCUCCUCCCUUCCCCGAUGAAACCUCUCUUCUCGCUCCGCACUUUGCAUGAGAAAGCCCAGAGGAAAGGCACCAUGAAGUGUUAAAAAUAACAAAACAAAACAACAACAACAACAAAUUUACUCGCGACACCGCCAGCUAACACUUCCAGCUGCCGUUUGCAAGCUGCAAAAGAGAGAGAGAGGAGAGAGCGAGAGAAGGGAGGGAGAGAGGAGCUCAAAAAAAAAAAAAAAAAACCCUUUAUGCAAAAGGCGAAUAGCAGGAGCCCCUCGCUCUGAUGCAUCAGCGGCAGCGGAGACUCUGCAAAGGAUAACGCGGAGCGGGAGCGAGAGCCGCCGGGGCGAAUUGGAGCGGAGGCUGCGAGGGGCCGUGGCGAGAGGCAGAGGCAGGAGAGAGCGGAGCGGAGCUCGCCAAAAAUCAAGCUGGCUCACCCGGUGGCAACUCAGAGCAGUCCCCUCGCUCCCGGAGCGCACCCUUUCUGGAGGACUGUCAGCAGCAAAAGGAUGGCAUCAGAACUGGCAAUGAGCAGCUCCGACCUGCCCACCAGUCCCCUGGCCAUGGAAUAUGUUAAUGACUUCGAUCUGAUGAAGUUUGAAGUGAAAAAGGAGCCGGUGGAGACCGAUCGCAUUAUCAGCCAGUGCGGCCGCUUGAUCGCCGGGGGAUCGCUCUCUUCCACCCCGAUGAGCACGCCCUGCAGCUCGGUGCCCCCGUCCCCCAGCUUCUCGGCGCCCAGCCCCGGCUCCGGCACCGACCAGAAGACCCACCUGGAAGACUACUACUGGAUGACGGGCUACCCGCAGCAGCUCAACCCGGAGGCGCUGGGCUUCAGCCCCGAGGACGCGGUGGAGGCGCUGAUCAACAGCAGCCACCACCCGCUGCCCGGCGCCUUCGAUGGCUAUGCUAGAGGGCAGCAGCUGGCCGCGGCCGCCGGCGCCGGCGGCUCCGUGCCGGCCGAGGAGAUGGGCUCGGCGGCCGCCGUGGUGUCGGCGGUGAUCGCCGCGGCGGCGGCGCAGGGCGGCGCGCCCCACUACCACCACCACCACCACCACCCGCACCACGGCGGCGGCGGCGGCGGCGGCGGCGGGCACCCCCACGCCGCGGCGCCGGGCAGCGCGCCGCCCUCCUCCGCCUCCUCGGCCGCCGGCUCCGGCGGCGGCGGCGGCGGCGGCGGCGGCGGCGGCGGCGCCGGGGGGCUGCACCACCCGCACCACGGCGGCGGCGGCGGCGGCGGCGGCGGCGGCGGCCUCCACUUCGACGACCGCUUCUCCGACGAGCAGCUGGUGACCAUGUCGGUGCGGGAGCUCAACCGGCAGCUGCGGGGCGUCAGCAAGGAAGAGGUGAUCCGGCUGAAGCAGAAGAGGAGGACCCUCAAAAACAGGGGCUAUGCCCAGUCCUGCCGCUUCAAGAGGGUCCAGCAGCGGCACGUCCUGGAGUCCGAGAAGAACCAGCUGCUGCAGCAAGUGGAGCACCUAAAGCAGGAGAUCUCCAGGCUGGUCCGGGAGAGGGACGCCUACAAGGAAAAAUACGAGAAGCUGGUCAGCAAUGGCUUCAGAGAAAACGGAUCCAGCAGCGACAACCCUUCCUCUCCAGAGUUUUUCAUGUACCCGAGAGAAUCGUCUACAACGGUGAUGUGAAAAUCCCUGUUACCUGAGGUCAAAAUAAAAAAAGGACAUAGGAAUAGAAGAUGUGCUGUGGUCAGGACCAGUAAAGACUUUUUUCAACAUCCACUGCAACUUGAGUCCCCCAUAAACAUUCAGGACUCAGCGAGAAUUGUACCCAACUCUUUUUGAUGGAAGCACAGCGGUGACCUUGUUGAUUGAUUAAAGAAGUGACAUUGACUUUGAAGGGAGCCACAUCCACCCUUCUUCUGCCAAAAAGGCAGUGGCUGCAAUGUGAAGCCUCAAGAAUGGGGCAUUGCUCCUCCAAGUACGUGGAAGACAUCCAAAGUCUCCCAGAAGACCUGGAGUGGUGACGCCUGGACGCAGAGGAGAUCACACUGCUUAUAAAUCUGCACCUUGAAGAGGCCAAAAGUUUCUUCAGCAGCAGGAGGUAAGCCAGGACUGCUGGUGGGUGUAAGGAACAGAGAACAAUGCCACAUGCUUUUGAGAAGAUGAAGGCGGUGUUCUUGAGGAUGGAGACUUUGGGGCUGAAUCACGGUCCUGUACAGAAAGCUUGAAGAGAUCUUCAGGUGGGAACACACCACCCAGCCAGCUGCUUGUUUGGUUGAGUCCAUGGACCUCUGGGGUCUGCACACCAGAGACUGAAAACUCUUGACUUAUCCUAAAUUUCCUCUUUGUGGACUUCUGAUGUGAUAGGAAUGGCACAAAAAAUUCAAUAUAUCUGCUUUGCCGUAAUUUUUUCAGCCUGCUAACUUUCCCAGGACUACUUUCUGCUCAAAUUACUGGAAUUUAAUUACAUGAAGCUUAAUUUCAGUUGCUUGGCCAAUUUUAAAAUACAUAUAUUCAAAUUUGAACCACAAGGCAGAAUUUUGGGAGCCUCUUUGUCCUCUCACUUUGUGUUAGUUUAAAUGAAGAAACUGUGCCUGUGAACCUCUGCUUUGUUACACCUAUUCCAAGUCAGUCUCACUUCUGGAGAGACUUCCCAGAGUCUCAGCAGUUUAAGGAGGAGCCCAAACUACCCUUAUGUUAUAGUUUAUGUUUUUGAAACUGUGCAAACAAUAGAUAUUUGUCUCCUGAUUAUGCAUUUUCUUGUAAAUAAAAUGUAUUGAGACCAGA
Molecule: non-coding RNA, 2921 nt
Organism: Phalacrocorax carbo (great cormorant)
Lineage: Eukaryota; Metazoa; Chordata; Aves; Suliformes; Phalacrocoracidae
Source: RefSeq, a predicted model, not a curated record